Molecule: ribosomal RNA, 253 nt
Filed under: uncultured bacterium
Lineage: Bacteria
Description: partial 16S ribosomal RNA
Rfam family: Bacterial small subunit ribosomal RNA
Source: RNAcentral
UACGGGGGGAGCAAGCGUUGUUCGGAUUUACUGGGCGUAAAGGGCGCGUAGGCGGCUUUGUAAGUCGGGGGUGAAAGCCUGUGGCUCAACCACAGAAUUGCCUUCGAUACUGCAUGGCUUGAGACCGGAAGAGGUUAGUGGAACUGCGAGUGUAGAGGUGAAAUUCGUAGAUAUUCGCAAGAACACCAGUGGCGAAGGCGGCUGACUGGUCCGGUUCUGACGCUGAGGCGCGAAAGCGUGGGGAGCGAACAGG